RNAcentral lists this long non-coding RNA (1594 nucleotides) under Mus musculus (house mouse). RNAcentral describes it as "long non-coding RNA chr2:181601358-181602952". Lineage: Eukaryota; Metazoa; Chordata; Mammalia; Rodentia; Muridae. The record is from RNAcentral.
GUAGUGCCUGCAUCUCUUACUGCUGCGACACCCGGAGGACUCUGAGUCUUCUGUCGUAUACUUGCUCCCCUGCUUUUCUGUGUUUCGGUCAAUAACACCGCCAUGAACAAGAAGAAGAAGCCGUUCCUGGGCAUGCCUGCGCCGCUGGGCUACGUACCCGGGCUGGGCAGGGGGUAAGGCAGUGGGGGGGAGUUUGCCCCGGGUAGGGUGCCUGGUGCCCUGGAACACAGCUCGCUCUUGGCCUAUUUGAGAACGAUUCUGGACUAGCAGCCACUAGAGCUAGAGAGACCGCGUCUCAAAAUAAAACAAAAAACCAGGGGCUGGAGCUAGUGGCGCACGUCUCUAACCCCAGCAUUGUUGUGGGGGGUGGGUGGGAUGGGAUGGGGCAGGGGCAGAGGCCUUCGUUUUUAAGUUAAGAGACCAGCCUCGUCUACAUAGCGAAUUACAAAACAGCCAGGGCUACACAGCGAGUUUCAGGACAGCUAGAAUUACUUAACGAAACCUUGUCUCAAAAACAAGGUUAACUUUCACCGCCACAACUAGGUAAUUUGGCAUAAUGCCUUUCCGACAAAGUGGGUAUGCAUGUAUGUAUGUAUGUGUCGAAAUAUGUAGGUUCAUGAGGCCUGACUACCACUCUAAGAUAUGACUGAGGGGUCUGAAUCUCAGUGUCUUGGUGUCUGAAGUAAUAUCCGUAAGCGAGUUGGCUGUAAGAAGCAGUUGAGUCUUUGAUGUAUACAGUAAGAGUGUGCUAUACCUUUCUUCCCUUAAACAUUUUUCUCUAGGAUGUGUGGCUGUAGGUCACCUGUUCAAAUUCUCAGCCGUCUGGACAGAGAUGGCAGUGCCACUAGUCAUAAGGUGUUGGGUAGAUGAAUAGUAUUUUUCCUACUUUUUAUGCAUUUGAUUAGGGAAACAUAAGUCUUCCUUGGUAAUGGUAGGAGAAGGGAGGCAUUCACAGCCGUUUUCAGAAGACUUGCAGUUCACAAGACAAGUUCGGUAUUGGUAUAAAUAAGCACAAAAAGUAGGACAGAAGUCAAGAGAUAUUCAGCAGUGUGGCAUUUUAGUUGGGUUUACGAAGUGUCAGAUUUUGGGGGAGUAAAGGAAAAACGUGGAAUUUGGUAUAGGCACAUAAAAAGGCAAGUAGGUGGCUGGUGAAGUGGCUCAGAGGGUAAAGGCUCUGUCAACCCUGAGUUUGAGUUCCCAGAAUUCACGAGGUAGGAGGAGAGAACUGAUUCUCUGAAAUUGUCUUCUGACUUCUACAGAUAUGUCAGGUCACACGCACACACUAAAUAAAUAAAUAGUUUAAAAGGGCAGCUGAAGAUGUAGCUGAGCAGUACUGACAAAGCCCUGGGUUUGAUUCCAAUGUCUUGCCCAACCUCUUUAAAGAAUAUAAAAGGGAUUAGAGAGAUUCCUUAGCAGUUAAGAGCACUUACUGCUUUUGUAAAGGACUUGAGUUUGAUUCCUAUGACCCCUGUCAGGAGACUCACAGCUUGCUUAUAACUCCAGUUUCAGGGGACCUGAUACCCUCCACAGCCACCUGCAUGCAUGUGGUGUUGUUAAAUACACAGCUUCACACACAUACACAUAAAAAUAAAUG